Molecule: long non-coding RNA, 664 nt
Organism: Monodelphis domestica (gray short-tailed opossum)
Lineage: Eukaryota; Metazoa; Chordata; Mammalia; Didelphimorphia; Didelphidae
Source: Ensembl
GUAACAUUUGAACACUGCACAGUCAAAGCAUCUACUCAUGAAGGCAAAAAAUGCCCCUGGGUCACAUCCUAGCAUUUGAAGAGUCAUAUAGAAAAUAAGUGUAUUUCUGUGAUGGAGAGAAGUUGGAGAGAACAGAACAUUUGCCCUAGAUGAAUGAAAGCACUUUGAUGUGCAGAACUGUUUUAUGGUCAUCUUUGAAUCUCUGCUGCUCAGCACAAUGCCCAACACAUAGUAGAUUUAUGGAAACACAUUAAAGACAAAUGAAAAAAGAAGGCAUUGCUUGGAUGAGCUAUGACCACCAUCACUGAAAGGAGUGCCUUUAUUGAAGAGAUCAUGAAUCCCAAUGGAAGGUUAUGCUCCAUCAGCUUGACGACAUGUGAUAAGUACAACAGGGCAUCCUCACUGAAGCAGAUAAAGGUCUAAUUUCAUCUUAACUGCUGCCUCUUCCAAGUUGCCUCAUGGCCACUGAAACCCUUAAGCCUAUUGGAUUUCCAUGUAUGUGUAUUUCUUUGCUUCUGUGUGAUCUCAGCAGGGAUAAAUGAACCCAGGAUAUUAAAAUGUAAUUUGUUCAGAUCUCUGCCUUCGGGGUGAGCAUGAAGAUGCUGCUAUCAGCCAGAAAAUUUGUGAUCUAAUUUAGAAGCAAUGAAGCAUGCUCUCUUUUCUC